Molecule: ribosomal RNA, 468 nt
Filed under: uncultured bacterium
Lineage: Bacteria
Description: partial 16S ribosomal RNA
Rfam family: Bacterial small subunit ribosomal RNA
Source: RNAcentral
GACGAACGCUGGCGGCGUGCUUAACACAUGCAAGUCGAACGGAAAGGCCCUGCUUUUGUGGGGUGCUCGAGUGGCGAACGGGUGAGUAACACGUGAGUAACCUGCCCUUGACUUUGGGAUAACUUCAGGAAACUGGGGCUAAUACCGGAUAUGAGCCCCUGCUGCAUGGGGGGGGUUGGAAAGUUUCGGCGGUUGGGUAUGGACUCGCGGCUUAUCAGCUUGUUGGUGGGGUAGUGGCUUACCAAGGCUUUGACGGGUAGCCGGCCUGAGAGGGUGACCGGCCACAUUGGGACUGAGAUACGGCCCAGACUCCUACGGGAGGCAGCAGUGGGGAAUAUUGCACAAUGGGCGGAAGCCUGAUGCAGCAACGCCGCGUGCGGGAUGACGGCCUUCGGGUUGUAAACCGCUUUCGCCUGUGACGAAGCGUGAGUGACGGUAAUGGGUAAAGAAGCACCGGCUAACUACGUG